Molecule: long non-coding RNA, 3808 nt
Filed under: Triticum aestivum (bread wheat)
Lineage: Eukaryota; Viridiplantae; Streptophyta; Magnoliopsida; Poales; Poaceae
Description: long non-coding RNA (TAES_LNC021361)
Source: RNAcentral
GAUUUUUUUUUUGUGAUGCAGGAAGAAAGGGAUCACUUCUCCCAUUUAUUGUAGACUUAAGAGAAGCGAAAGUAGGAGGAAGCCUAGGAGGGCCAUCUGAGCAAAAGCUCAGAAAUCGAUUAAUUCACUGCUUAUAUCUCUGGCUUGCUAGUAGGUCAUUUCAUAUAAUCUUUUUUUUAGCAUCAGUACAGACACAAGCGCUCAUAUACACGCGCAUACCCUCACCCCUAUGAACGUAUACACGCACACCCUACCCAUAUGAGCACCUCCGAGAGACUGAGCCGGCAUAUCAUCUUGAGAUUUACGAAGUCACCGUAGGCGCCUCGUCGUCGACGGGAACGUCUCCUCCCACUGAAAGCGCAUCGCCGAGAAUCCUGAAAUAAAUCCAGAAAUAAUGCGAGCACCAGGAUUUGAACCCUGAUGGGUUGGGGAUACCACUGUCCACCUAACCAACUCAACCACAGGUUGAUUCGCGAUCAUUUCAUAUAAUCUAGGACCCCAAUGUUAGGCGAUUCACCCAAUAUUAGGGCCCUUUAUUCGUUCUCUAGUGGGCCGAAUGACCAGUCAACCCUUUCAUCUGUUGGGGGUUGCGGGAGGAGCGAAGGAUCCAGCCAGACAUCGUGGAAAAAAGUGGGGUAGGACCAAAAUAGUAUACUUUUUCAACAAAAAUGACAUUAACAAAAAUAAAAAUAAAAAACGGAUGCAAGAAAAGACAAAAGAGAAAAAACAUAAAUUACAACUGCCACGCCCCUAUUAUAUAUAUAUAUAUAUAUAUAUAUAUAUAUAUAUAAUACCAUGGUUUACUUUAUAAAAAUGUUUUAGCUACAUAAGUCCAAUAAAUUUGCCAUGGCCCAAACACAAUUUCGUUUUUAUGAAAAACCAAAAUUCAACCCUCUUAAUAAUUAAAAUUCCAUCCUCUUAAUAAUAAAGUCUCAUGCUCCCAAGUAAUAAAACUACCAUCAUGUUAGUAAUAAAAUGGUCAUCCUCUUAAUGAUAAAAAUUCCGUGUUAUUAAUAAUAAAAAAUACCAUACUAUUAAUAAUAAAAACUUCCAUCCUAUUAAUAAUAGAAAUCCCAUGUAAUUAAUAAUAAAAAAUGUCAUGUUAUAAAUAAUAAAAAAUGCCAUGCGCUUAACUACAAAUGCUACCAUCUUAAAUAAUAAUACAAAUGCCAUGUUAUUAAUUAUUAAAAUGUCAUACUCUUGAUAAUAAAAUUUCCAUGUGAGAAAGUAAAAAACCAAAACCAAAAUUGCCAUGUGUAAAUGACAAAAAAUCCCAAAGCUUGCAAUGGGGGCAUUACAAAAAUACCUAAAAAAUGCCAUCUGUUGAAAGGCAAAAAAUGUCAUGGUUUAAACCAAAAGAAAUUGCCAUGCUACCAAUAAUAAAAAAAUGCACAUGGAAAGUUUAGAAAAAAAAACCAUCCAAAAAAUAGGGAUUUUUGUUUGUUCAUGGAAAAAGGGGCAUUUGGAAUUUUUAAAAUGAAAAACGAAUAAAAAGAUUUUAUCUUCGAAUACAUAAAGUUGUUUAAGCAUAAGUGUUCACAAAACCGCUUCAAUCGAGGUGAUAAGAGCAUCUCUAGCAGACCCUGUAUAACGUCGACCUGCAAAAUGCGUUUACAGUUUGCGAAAAAAUGGCUCUGCGGGGCAGCGCGGACGGCCGCAGAGUCAGACCCCGCAAAACGGACCCGUAAAAAAGAUAUUCGCGGAAUGUGCUCUUUUACGGGUCGGCUUUGCGGGGUCUGCUCGGGCGCCGCUCCCGCCGGCCCGCAAAUCUGAAAUUUACAAUUCAAUUUCACACAUAAAAAUACAUUUCUUUGCUUUUUUAUUUUCUUCAAUGGCAUUGGAUACAUAGUAAUUCACCAAAUCUUUGCUAGAAUAGUAAGACCAAAUAAAACAAGAACCAUAAUUAUACAUUUUAGAAGAUAUCCAACUUCCAUAUAUAACUGCUCCCACUAGUUGGACCAAUAUUUUCUUCAUGCAUUCGUUGUUGAUCUGCGGAUUCUUGAUUGCAUUCUUCAUUCUUUUUCUUUGGUUCUAAAGAAGUAGACGUUGUUUCUCCUCUAUUUUCUUCUCUAAUUGCACAUGCAGCCGCAUCAUUAGCCUCAAUUCUACUAAGAAGUGCACGAACAUCUAUUAAGUUCCUUUCUAUCAAUAAAUCAAUGUAUUCUCAUUCCCAAAACUAAAAUGAGCAUCCAUCUUCCUACACACAUGAUGAUGUUCAAAAUGAGCUAUCGCAAUUGAACCAAAGUAUACGGUGACAAAGCCGAAUGAAAACAACACAUACCCCAUCGUUUUCGCAUUUGAAGAACACCUAUCCGGGGUGCUUCGGCGUGCCAGAAGUUAGUCGUAGCACUGUCCGCGUGCAGUCGUCGCACUGUAUGAGCGGCAUCGGCCAGCCGCUGCGCGAGCGCCGAGCCCGGCGGCCGGCCGGCCGAAUCCCUGCCGGCAAACCAGCGGCGGCAACUACAAGACGAACCCGUACCUGCAUGCGACGAUGGGGCUUUACCGGGGCCGCGCGGGUGCUCCGCGACCAAUCCAUGGCUUGGCGCAGCGACCGUCGGCCGGAAAAGCCAAAUCCGGCCGCCUGCGUCGAACAGUCGCCGAUCUGCAACUUUCCGGCCCACCGACGCAGGAGGAAGUGGCGGAGGGCAACCUCGGGCGUGUGGCGGCCCUCCGGCGUGAUCCCACCAACUACUUUGACCAAAAUCGUAGGCAGCGGCCCGACUGCGGGGCGAGGGGUAGAGGGGCGGCGGUGGGUGGGGAACGGGCCGAGGGGCGAAACCCGUGUUUCCACGGGUUGGGACUGGAAUUAUGCCGCGUCCCGCAAAAAAAUUUAUGGGUCAGACGCAUUUGCAGAGUCUGGUCGGGCAGAAUUUUUCGUGCCAACACGUAAUUUAACGGUUAUUUUACGGGUCGUGACUUUUUAGGAGGUCUGCUAGAGAUCCUCUAAGCGUGCAGCCACUCCUCAAGAAGGUUUGGGUUUGAGACCCCCACCUCGUGCAUGUCCCUUGUAUUUUUUAAGAGGAAAAGGGAAGGGUGUUUAUCAUUUUGCUGUAGCGCGUAUGAAAAGCUGACGUGGUACAAGGCUUGCGCCACCAUUCAUGCGAUAAAAAAGGACAUAUCUAUCUAGACGGCAACCAGCAUGUUCACUAGGAAAACAUCAACAUUGAGCGUUCGCCGGAUAUCAUUUUUCGAAUCUAUUGUAGGAGAAUCAGCUUGGGACGCAGCUUGUUUGUUAGCGGUUUAGCUUCUGGGUGGCAGGAAACUAGGAAUCGAUAGUAGAAGACCAAACAAAGGCCUAUUAAUUAAAUGCACUAGACUUUUCAAGUUAGAAGUCCGAAAAAGAUCCAUACUUAAACUUCCUACAUAUCUCGUUGAGGAAAGGAAUCAAGAAACAUUUCCAAAUCAAAAGGAAAUUAAGAACGGGCAACCAAAAUGCACUGCUUGGAAGCAAGCUCUGUCUGACAACACUGAAACAGGCAAUCCAGAUCCAUAGGUGACAAAGCAUGAAGACAGCAUUGCAGAUGAUAUGUUAUCUCGAAUCUCCUUGGUGGCUUUAUCUCGUGACCAGUACUCAUAGUUACACCAGGGCUCUAGCUUUAGACCCUGUAGGAGAAUAUCAACACUUGUGGUCAGCUGAUGUAACUUCAAUGGUAAAUAGCGCCACUUGAAAUAUCAGAUGAAACAGCUAUUUUGGUGAAACAUUCAAUUUCCUUUACCAGAUGAAAAUUUUCUGUUGCUUUACCAGAUGGAAUUUUUCAUUCACCAAGUUUAGAAGUUUCUGGACAUUAUUAAAAAAAUAUGUCGGGGG